RNAcentral lists this ribosomal RNA (434 nucleotides) under Serratia marcescens. RNAcentral's name for it is "bacterial SSU rRNA". It matches the Rfam family "Bacterial small subunit ribosomal RNA", at positions 1011 to 1445 of the family's 1533-position model. The record is from RNAcentral. Lineage: Bacteria; Pseudomonadati; Pseudomonadota; Gammaproteobacteria; Enterobacterales; Yersiniaceae.
UUGGUGCCUUCGGGAACUCUGAGACAGGUGCUGCAUGGCUGUCGUCAGCUCGUGUUGUGAAAUGUUGGGUUAAGUCCCGCAACGAGCGCAACCCUUAUCCUUUGUUGCCAGCGGUUCGGCCGGGAACUCAAAGGAGACUGCCAGUGAUAAACUGGAGGAAGGUGGGGAUGACGUCAAGUCAUCAUGGCCCUUACGAGUAGGGCUACACACGUGCUACAAUGGCGUAUACAAAGAGAAGCGACCUCGCGAGAGCAAGCGGACCUCAUAAAGUACGUCGUAGUCCGGAUUGGAGUCUGCAACUCGACUCCAUGAAGUCGGAAUCGCUAGUAAUCGUAGAUCAGAAUGCUACGGUGAAUACGUUCCCGGGCCUUGUACACACCGCCCGUCACACCAUGGGAGUGGGUUGCAAAAGAAGUAGGUAGCUUAACCUUCGG